RNAcentral lists this ribosomal RNA (747 nucleotides) under Triticum aestivum (bread wheat). RNAcentral describes it as "partial small subunit ribosomal RNA". Lineage: Eukaryota; Viridiplantae; Streptophyta; Magnoliopsida; Poales; Poaceae. The record is from RNAcentral.
AUGAAUUGUAAACCGGUAUUUCAUUUCAGCUUUUCACUUGCAAUGGCCAAACAUUUUUAUGCCUAUAACUGGGCUCCUUCCCGGGUUACCGAGGAGCAGCUUAAUGGAAUGGUCAGGAUUGGUACCUUUCCAAAAAAGAAUGAGAUCCGGUGGCGAGUUCCUGGUCCGGAGAAUCCUCCUACCCCUAACCAGGGUGAGGUAGUGGUAUUUGUUGACCACAUAGGCCGUGGUUUCAAACCGCCCAGCUCAAAGUUUUUCCAGGAUGUGAUUGCCAGUUUCCAGCUCCACCCUCAAGAUAUUGGACCUAACUCAGUAUCCAAUAUAUGCAAUUUCCAAGUCUUCUGUGAAGUGUACUUACAAGAAGAACCAACUGUUGAGCUGUUCCGGGAUUUUUUCCAUCUGAACCAGUGCACUGAAUUUGUAGACGGACCCAACACUGAACUUGGUGGCGUCUCUAUUCAAAAAAGAAAAGAGGUUGAAUUCCCUCAUGCCAAGCUGCACAGUCACCCCAAAGAGUGGAACCAAACUUGGUUCUACUGUAAAGACACCUCCCCUAAAGACGAGAACCCUCUGCUGGGUUACUGUGCCCACCGGCUUUCCAACACUCAUCCACUGCCGCAACGUCUAAGUGCCAUGGAACGGGCCUCAUAUGCCCCUCAACUCGCCAAGCUCCGGGCCUUUAUGGCCAACGGUUUAUCGGUGUGGACUUUGUGCGUUGCUGGAUAUCCUGGAGCAUCUUGCCAUUAA